RNAcentral lists this ribosomal RNA (440 nucleotides) under uncultured bacterium. RNAcentral describes it as "partial 16S ribosomal RNA". It matches the Rfam family "Bacterial small subunit ribosomal RNA", at positions 338 to 795 of the family's 1533-position model. The record is from RNAcentral.
CCUACGGGUGGCAGCAGUGGGGGAUAUUGCACAAUGGGCGAAACCCUGAUGCAGCGACGCCGCGUGAGUGAAGAAGUAUUUCGGUAUGUAAAGCACUAUCAGCAGGGAAGAAAAUGACAGUACCUGACAAAGAAGCCCCGGCUAACGACGUGUCAGCAGCCGCUGUAAUACGUAGGGGGCAAGCGUUAUCCGGAUUUACUGGGUGUAAAGGGAGCGUAGACGGUUAUGUAAGUCUGGAGUGAAAGCCCGGGGCUCAACCCCGGGACUGCUUUGGAUACUGUGUAGCUGGAGUACAGGAGAGGCAGGUGGAAUUCCAGGUGUAGCGGUGAAAUGCGUAGAUAUCAGGAGGAACACCGGCGGCGAAGGCGGCCUGCUGGACUGAAACUGACGUUGAGGCUCGAAAGCGUGGGGAGCAAACAGGAUUAGAUACCCGAGUAGUC